UUGUAAACUCCUGUCGAGGGGUAGGAAGGGGCCGAAAGGCCCUUGACCGAUCCCUGGAGGAAGCACGGGCUAAGUUCGUGCCAGCAGCCGCGGUAAGACGAACCGUGCGAACGUUAUUCGGAAUCACUGGGCUUAAAGCGCGUGUAGGCGGGUCGGUGCGUCGGCCGCUGAAAUCCCCCGGCUCAACCGGGGAAGGGGCGCCGAUACGACCGGCCUGGAGCGACGUAGGGGGAACUGGAACUUCCGGUGGAGCGGUGAAAUGCGUUGAGAUCGGAAGGAACGCCCGUGGCGAAAGCGAGUUCCUGGACGUCGGCUGACGCUGAGACGCGAAAGCCAGGGGAGCGAACGGGAUUAGAUACCCCGGUAGUCCUGGCCGUAAAC
This 381-nucleotide ribosomal RNA is filed under the name Odontella aurita. Its description in RNAcentral is "partial Bacterial small subunit ribosomal RNA". It matches the Rfam family "Bacterial small subunit ribosomal RNA", at positions 423 to 807 of the family's 1533-position model. The record is from RNAcentral. Lineage: Eukaryota; Bacillariophyta; Thalassiosirophyceae; Eupodiscales; Odontellaceae.